Molecule: ribosomal RNA, 203 nt
Filed under: uncultured bacterium
Lineage: Bacteria
Description: partial 16S ribosomal RNA
Rfam family: Bacterial small subunit ribosomal RNA
Source: RNAcentral
UAGCCGACCUGCGGGCGGGGAUCGCCCGCCGCAUUGCGGCUGGGGCAGGGGCCAGACGCCUACGGGAGGCAGCAGUGGGGAAUAUUGCGCAAUGGGGGAAACCCUGACGCAGCAACGCCGCGUGAGUGAUGAAGGUCUUCGGAUCGUAAAGCUCUGUCUUCAGGGACGAUAAUGACGGUACCUGAGAGAGGACCGUACGGCUA